GUUGAACGCUGGCGGCAGGCCUAACACAUGCAAGUCGAACGGUAACAGGAAGAAGCUUGCUUCUUUGCUGACGAGUGGCGGACGGGUGAGUAAUGUCUGGGAAACUGCCUGAUGGAGGGGGAUAACUACUGGAAACGGUAGCUAAUACCGCAUAACGUCGCAAGACCAAAGAGGGGGACCUUCGGGCCUCUUGCCAUCGGAUGUGCCCCGAUGGGAUUAGCUAGUAGGUGGGGUAACGGCUCACCUAGGCGCCGAUCCCUAGCUGGUCUGAGAGGAUGACCAGCCACACUGGAACUGAGACACGGUCCAGACUCCUACGGGAGGCAGCAGUGGGGAAUAUUGCACAAUGGGCGCAAGCCUGAUGCAGCCAUGCCGCGUGUAUGAAGAAGGCCUUCGGGUUGUAAAGUACUUUCAGCGGGGAGGAAGGGAGUAAAGUUAAUACCUUUGCUCAUUGACGUUACCCGCAGAAGAAGCACCGGCUAACUCCGUG
RNAcentral lists this ribosomal RNA (490 nucleotides) under uncultured bacterium. RNAcentral's name for it is "partial 16S ribosomal RNA". It matches the Rfam family "Bacterial small subunit ribosomal RNA", at positions 28 to 507 of the family's 1533-position model. The record is from RNAcentral.